CGCCUCCCCCCCCCCCCCCCAGCCGCCAGCCUUCAGCCCUGAAAAGGAGGUCUCUACCCCGGGUUUCUGCUGCUGGUGGAACCGGGCGGGGGACAAGGCGGGUUCACCCAGGAUGCGAACGGGGCGGUCCUCUAGGAAGGCUUGGCCGGCUUACAAGACUAGAGUCAAUCAGUGGGGAUGUCGGGCAGACCAGGGGUGAUGACCAGAGCCCACGAAAUGGGGGUCUUCAGGAGUGCGAGGCGCGCAGAAAGGCAUGGGAGGGCCUCGGAACCGCGGCCCUGGCGCGGGUGUGCAGAAGCUUAGAUCCGCCCACCCAAGAGCUCCUAAUGGCCCGGUACAGGGAGGCGAGGAUAGCAAUGGGGGCGGGGGCGGGGGGAGGGUUCUUCUCGGUGUUUCGAGUAACAUCAAGCCGGGAGGCAGAGCUGUUCAAGGUGAAUCCUAGAUGGCUCCUAGGCCCUUUCCCCUGGGAGAGGAAAGGGCUCAUUUGCUCAGUUGAGAUCAUCCAGGUAUGGAUAAGGAGAGACGGCUCUUGUUACGAGUUGAAUUAUAUCCCCCAAAGAAGGUAAGUUAAAGUUCUAACCCCCAUUACCCUGGAACGUGAAUUUAUUUGAAAAUAGGGUCAUUGCAGAUGUGAUUAGUUAAGAUGAGGUCAUACUGAAAUAGUGUGGGCCCCUAAGCAAUAUGAAUGGUGUCCUAUAAGAAAACAGCCAUGAGAAAAGAGACACAGGAAGAAUGCUAUGUGAAAACGGGGGGUUGGAAUGAUGCAUCUGUAAGCCAAGGAAUGCCACAGGUUGUCCACAAACCACUAAGUUGCAGAGACAGCAUGGCUCUGCUAACACCUUGAUUUUAGACUCUGAGCCUCUAGAACUGUAAGAUGAUAAAUUUCUACUGUUUUAAGCUACCCAGUUUGUGGUGCUUUGUGAUAGCAACCCUAGGAAACUCUUGGGUUAAGGGCAUAUGUACAUGUGUUUGUAUUUAUUAGAAUGGCAAUUAAAGCAAGCAAGCAAGCCACACAUAAUCCAUAAAGCUGUAAAGCCUGCUCUGUGCAGAAUACAAUGUCAAGGGGGCUGGGAAGUCAGAUAUAUAAGACUUGGUCUAUGUGCUUAGCUAACAUAAUGUUUAUGAUGUAUUUCUCAUUUGCUGUUUUCCAGCCAGCACCCAGGCAAGGAGUCCAUGUCAUAAAAUGACCUACACCUCUGGAGACAGAUCUGCUUUGGUGGGAGGCCCUACUGUUCCUCAGCGUUUUAACCUUGGGGAAAUUACUGAGUCUGUCUUCUGUUUCAAUUCCUUAUCUGAAAUAUGGGGAUGAUGGUAAUAAAGAGGUUGUUGCGAGCA
Molecule: long non-coding RNA, 1335 nt
Filed under: Felis catus (domestic cat)
Lineage: Eukaryota; Metazoa; Chordata; Mammalia; Carnivora; Felidae
Description: lncRNA (ENSFCAG00000043282.2)
Source: RNAcentral